GUCCAGACUCCUACGGGAGGCAGCAGUGGGGGAUAUUGGACAAUGGGGGGAACCCUGAUCCAGCGACGCCGCGUGAGUGAAGAAGUAUUUCGGUAUGUAAAGCUCUGUCAGCAGGGAAGAAAGAAAUGACGGUACCUGACCAAGAAGCCCCGGCUAACUCCGUGCCAGCAGCCGCGGUAAUACGGAGGAUGCGAGCGUUAUCCGGAUUUAUUGGGUGUAAAGGGAGCGCAGGCGGCUUGGCAAGUCUGAUGUGAAAGGCUGGGGCUCAACCCCAGGACUGCAUUGGAAACUGUUAGGCUGGAGUGUCGGAGAGGUAAGCGGAAUUCCUAGUGUAGCGGUGAAAUGCGUAGAUAUUAGGAGGAACACCAGUGGCGAAGGCGGCUUACUGGACGACAACUGACGCUGAGGCUCGAAAGCGUGGGGAGCAAACAGGAUUAGAUACCCCAGUAGAG
RNAcentral lists this ribosomal RNA (452 nucleotides) under uncultured bacterium. Its description in RNAcentral is "bacterial SSU rRNA". It matches the Rfam family "Bacterial small subunit ribosomal RNA", at positions 329 to 793 of the family's 1533-position model. The record is from RNAcentral.